AAUAUUAGGCAACAGAGUUUCUAAGAGUGGACAGCUCCAAGAAGGUUGUGAAGUAAUCUGUAACUGAUUGUCGGGGCUGCAUCCCCUUUUCAAAGCGGUUAUACAUUCCACUCCAAAACCUGGAAAGGACGGCAAAGCGUCAUGAUACCACCUUAUCACAGUCUGAAAAUUCACAUCCUCCAGUCUUCUAAGGUAUCUGUGAUACCACAGUCUUAAUAAUAACCAAAUGCAAAUUUCAGCCUCAAAAAGCCACUACUUAAUGUAA
RNAcentral lists this small RNA (265 nucleotides) under Pongo abelii (Sumatran orangutan). Its description in RNAcentral is "processed transcript". Lineage: Eukaryota; Metazoa; Chordata; Mammalia; Primates; Hominidae. The record is from RNAcentral.